RNAcentral lists this long non-coding RNA (383 nucleotides) under Sander lucioperca (pikeperch). RNAcentral describes it as "lncRNA (ENSSLUG00000017582.1)". The record is from RNAcentral. Lineage: Eukaryota; Metazoa; Chordata; Actinopteri; Perciformes; Percidae.
CUUUGACAUUGCUGAACGGAGCUGAGACACCAUUACAGGGUGAGAGAUCUCUGCUGGAAAACACACGACGGGAAGAUCUGAAGCAGUCAAGAGAAGGGACAGUAACUCGGGUGAGAGAUCUCUGCUGGAAAACACACGACGGGAAGAUCUGAAGCAGUCAAGAGAAGGGACAGUAACUCGCUACAUCAACUGAUGUUGAACGAUCCUGCUGUUAAUAAUUCACCUGGUGACAGGUGAGUGAUGAGGACAGUAGAUUUUGACAUUGCUGAACGGAGCUGAGACACCAUUACAGGGUGUGAGAUCUCUGCUGGAAAACACACGACGGGAAGAUCUGAAGCAAUCAAGAGAAGGGACAGGAACUCAGUGAGUCUUGUUUUUGAGAG